AUUGAACGCUGGCGGCAGGCCUAACACAUGCAAGUCGAGCGGAGCGGCGGACGGGCGAGUAAUGCCUAGGAAUCUGCCUGCUAGUUGGGGAUAACGUCCGGCUACGGGCGCUACUACCGCAUACUAUCAGAUGAGCCUACGGCGGAUUAGUUAGUUGGUGGGGUAAAGGCCUACCAAGGCGACGACCCGUAACUGGUCUGAGAGGAGGAUCAGUCACACUGGAACUGUGACACGGUCCAGACGCCUACGGGAGGCAGCAGUGGGGAAUAUUGGACAAUGGGCGAAAGCCUGAUCCAGCCAGGCCGCGUGUGUGAAGAAGGUCUUCGGAUUGUAAAGCACUUUAAGUUGGGAGGCGUUACCAACAGAAUAAGCACCGGCUAACUUCGUGCCAGCAGCCGCGGUAAUUC
This 407-nucleotide ribosomal RNA is filed under the name uncultured bacterium. Its description in RNAcentral is "partial 16S ribosomal RNA". It matches the Rfam family "Bacterial small subunit ribosomal RNA", at positions 30 to 526 of the family's 1533-position model. The record is from RNAcentral.